GAUGAAUUUAAGCUUCAUAUAUAAAGAGACCUUUUUU
This 37-nucleotide transfer RNA is filed under the name Clambus sp. CLA01. RNAcentral describes it as "partial tRNA-Leu". Lineage: Eukaryota; Metazoa; Arthropoda; Insecta; Coleoptera; Clambidae. The record is from RNAcentral.